RNAcentral lists this ribosomal RNA (670 nucleotides) under Micromonospora sp. EGI 80144. Its description in RNAcentral is "bacterial SSU rRNA". It matches the Rfam family "Bacterial small subunit ribosomal RNA", at positions 120 to 805 of the family's 1533-position model. The record is from RNAcentral. Lineage: Bacteria; Bacillati; Actinomycetota; Actinomycetes; Micromonosporales; Micromonosporaceae.
AGCAACCUGCCCUAGGCUUUGGGAUAACCCCGGGAAACCGGGGCUAAUACCGAAUAGGACCACCGGUCGCAUGGUUGGUGGUGGAAAGUUUUUCGGCCUGGGAUGGGCUCGCGGCCUAUCAGCUUGUUGGUGGGGUGAUGGCCUACCAAGGCGACGACGGGUAGCCGGCCUGAGAGGGCGACCGGCCACACUGGGACUGAGACACGGCCCAGACUCCUACGGGAGGCAGCAGUGGGGAAUAUUGCACAAUGGGCGGAAGCCUGAUGCAGCGACGCCGCGUGAGGGAUGACGGCCUUCGGGUUGUAAACCUCUUUCAGCAGGGACGAAGCGUAAGUGACGGUACCUGCAGAAGAAGCGCCGGCCAACUACGUGCCAGCAGCCGCGGUAAGACGUAGGGCGCGAGCGUUGUCCGGAUUUAUUGGGCGUAAAGAGCUCGUAGGCGGCUUGUCGCGUCGACUGUGAAAACCCGCAGCUCAACUGCGGGCCUGCAGUCGAUACGGGCAGGCUAGAGUUCGGUAGGGGAGACUGGAAUUCCUGGUGUAGCGGUGAAAUGCGCAGAUAUCAGGAGGAACACCGGUGGCGAAGGCGGGUCUCUGGGCCGAUACUGACGCUGAGGAGCGAAAGCGUGGGGAGCGAACAGGAUUAGAUACCCUGGUAGUCCACGCUGUAA